CCUACGGGUGGCAGCAGUGGGGGAUAUUGCACAAUGGGGGGAACCCUGAUGCAGCGACGCCGCGUGGGUGAAGGAGCGCCUCGGCGCGUAAAGCCCUGUCAGCAGGGAAGAAAAUGACCGUACCUUAAGAAGAAGCCCCGGCUAAAUUCGUGCCAGCCGCCGCGGUAAUACGUAGGGGGCCAGCGUUAUCCGGAUUUUCUGGGUGUAAAGGGGGCGCAGACGGCGAUGCAAGCCAGGAGUGAAAGGCCGGGGCCCAACCCCGGGACUUCUCUUGGAACUGGGUGGCUGGAGUGCAGGAGGGGCAGGCGGAAUUCCUGGUGUAGCGGUGAAAUGCGUAGAUAUUAGGAGGAACACCGGUGGCGAAGGCGGCCUGCUGGACUGUAACUGACGUUGAGGCUCGAAAGCGUGGGGAGCAAACAGGAUUAGAUACCCCAGUAGUC
Molecule: ribosomal RNA, 440 nt
Filed under: uncultured bacterium
Lineage: Bacteria
Description: partial 16S ribosomal RNA
Rfam family: Bacterial small subunit ribosomal RNA
Source: RNAcentral